This is a non-coding RNA of Tetranychus urticae (two-spotted spider mite), 1465 nucleotides long. The record is from RefSeq and is a predicted model, not a curated record. NCBI's taxonomy places the organism in Eukaryota, Metazoa, Arthropoda, Arachnida, Trombidiformes, Tetranychidae.
GGAGAGAAUAAAGAAAACAAAGAAACAAAAGCCAAAUGGAGUCAAAUUGAGAUGGACAAGUCAAGUUUAUUGGAUAUCCCAUAUUGUUUAAAAUGAUGGUCCACAAUAACUGUAACACUUCAAUGUAAAAUACAAUCUAAAUUAACCAGCAACUGUAUUAAAUAAGGAUAAAGUGCAGGUAAAAAAAGGAAAAGCCAAAAGUUUCGGUGUUAAAAUGGUGAGCUUCCGUAAACUGGUUUGGAAUAAAAAAGAAUGUCUUUGGAUUUUGGCGACAUUUGCUUGUUAAAAUAAGCCCUUAUGCUAAACCGUAUCCAGAUUUAGAUUGAUGAUUAGUAAUUAAGGAAUCAAGGAGUGGACAAAUAAAUGCGUACUUGAUGAUGAAGAUAAUAAUGACGAAAGGUCGCCUUAAUAAUAGGGCAAAAGGUUUGAAAGAAAAAGGUCAAAGUUUGGAAUGUCAAGUCUCAAAGGAAAAGACGAUGACCAAGAAGCCAAAGAGUAGUAAUAAGGAUAAUAAGAGGUUAUACCUGUUGAAGUGUAAGAUAUGAAAAAUAAACAUUGUGACAAGCCUAAGAAAAUCUUUAAAGUAGGUAAAGGUUACCUGUUAAAUGGUGAAAGGUAAAAGUUGAAAAGGAUUUAACAUCAACAAGGAAACAAGCAGCAGCAGCAAAAAAAGUAAGAGUAAGGAUUGAAAGGUAAAGGUAAGAAACCAAAUUGUCUUGAAUCAAUCUUUUAACUCGCCAAAACUAGCCUUUUGUAUUUCACAGUGAAACUUAAUAACAAAGAGCUUGUUUUAAGUCCAUAGUAAAGUUGCCAAAAAAUAAACCAGGUCACAAUGGACCUAAGCCGGAAAAAAUAUUUCUUUUCAUUGCUUUCCUUUUCUCUCUCUUUCUCUCUCCUUUUUACCUCAAUCUUCGCCAAUCUUUUCCAUCUUUUUCAUCUCCUUCGCCUUCGCCUUCAUCUUUUCAUUUUCAUCUCUUAUUCACCUUUGUUUUCGGCAACAAAAAUCACUUUAAAUAUGUUAACCUUGCUUCUCAAAAAAAAUGUACCUGUCGUUAGUUUCUUUUUUACUUUGCCCACAUAUAUUUUUCAUCCCUAUUGUAACCUGUUACUUUACAAGUUGUUGAUGGCGUUGAUGAACAGGAUUUAGGCAUGAUUAGGAUGAUGGUGAUCUCAAUUUCGAUGACAGAUAAACCAAAUGACGGUUUCAACAUUUGAUUAUCUAAAUCCUGUAAAAAUCGAACCUGUCAUAAUUACUCUAUUAACACCGAUUAAAUACUGGUUUAUACCGUCAAUGGACUGGGUAUGGUAAAGCCUCCACCUAGGAUUGAUUACAGCGAAUGCCAAUCAUUUAAUCAUCAAAAUCAUCGCCUGUUCAGAAAUUUUAGCCAAAAUUUGCAGCCAAUUUUGUGGAUAUUUACAAUCAAUGAAUGAGAUCAAAUUUUGGUCUUUCAAUUUUUAUCUUAUA